This 480-nucleotide ribosomal RNA is filed under the name Salmonella enterica. RNAcentral's name for it is "partial 23S ribosomal RNA". It matches the Rfam family "Bacterial large subunit ribosomal RNA", at positions 711 to 1189 of the family's 2925-position model. The record is from RNAcentral. Lineage: Bacteria; Pseudomonadati; Pseudomonadota; Gammaproteobacteria; Enterobacterales; Enterobacteriaceae.
AGACCCGAAACCCGGUGAUCUAGCCAUGGGCAGGUUGAAGGUUGGGUAACACUAACUGGAGGACCGAACCGACUAAUGUUGAAAAAUUAGCGGAUGACCUGUGGCUGGGGGUGAAAGGCCAAUCAAACCGGGAGAUAGCUGGUUCUCCCCGAAAGCUAUUUAGGUAGCGCCUCGUGAAUUCAUCUCCGGGGGUAGAGCACUGUUUCGGCCAGGGGGCCAUCCCGGCUUACCAAUCCGAUGCAAACUGCGAAUACCGGAGAAUGUUAUCACGGGAGACACACGGCGGGUGCUAACGUCCGUCGUGAAGAGGGAAACAACCCAGACCGCCAGCUAAGGUCCCAAAGUCAUGGUUAAGUGGGAAACGAUGUGGGAAGGCCCAGACAGCCAGGAUGUUGGCUUAGAAGCAGCCAUCAUUUAAAGAAAGCGUAAUAGCUCACUGGUCGAGUCGGCCUGCGCGGAAGAUGUAACGGGGCUAAACCA